AAAGCUCAGUCAGCGAUGCAAUACUGACGGGGUGACGCGUCACAUCUUCAUAGUUUACAUAUCUAUUUCUUAUUGACGUUGACAUCACUGGCAAAAAAGUAAACUAACAUAGACUUCAACGUCAAAGCCAUCUGACAGUUGUCACUGCAUGAGCUGCAGAACCUGUCCAAAUUCAGCACUAGUCCUUUGGACAGUAGACCCCGUGCACCCGUCCAUGGCUGACAGCUGCUGGUGAAGCCAGGGACUGCCGUUUCAGACAGGACUACCAGACAUAAACAACAGCAGCCUAGCAGUGAAGAGGUCACUGGAUCGACCAGCAAGCCUUGACUAGCAACUACCUGGAAACACAGCAAUGACAUGUUCAGCAAUGCUGGGUUGUCCUCAUUCUCACUAAUACUCUUUUAUCUAAGUCCUGUCAUGUCACAGAUGAGCCUAGUGCAAAUCAGAGGACCCUGGCCCAACCUGUAGCAUGUCCAGACUGUGCCAGCACUACCAGGGUGACCUCACUGUACCCUAACCCCCUUCCCUUUUACCAUGCUUUGGUGUCUUAAAACAUCUUCUGAAACUG
This is a long non-coding RNA of Paramormyrops kingsleyae, 568 nucleotides long. RefSeq lists it as uncharacterized. Lineage: Eukaryota; Metazoa; Chordata; Actinopteri; Osteoglossiformes; Mormyridae. The record is from RefSeq and is a predicted model, not a curated record.